UGGUGGUUAGUUUAACAAAAAUAAUAGAUUUCGACUCUUUAGAUUAUGAUUUAAUUCAUAACCACCAC
Molecule: transfer RNA, 68 nt
Filed under: Geomys pinetis (southeastern pocket gopher)
Lineage: Eukaryota; Metazoa; Chordata; Mammalia; Rodentia; Geomyidae
Description: tRNA-Arg
Rfam family: tRNA
About the family: Transfer RNA (tRNA) molecules are approximately 80 nucleotides in length.
Source: RNAcentral